Molecule: long non-coding RNA, 819 nt
Organism: Monomorium pharaonis (pharaoh ant)
Lineage: Eukaryota; Metazoa; Arthropoda; Insecta; Hymenoptera; Formicidae
Exons: 2
Source: RefSeq, a predicted model, not a curated record
CACCAGAGAACAAUUUCUUGCCGAAUAAAGCUGUCAAAUUCUAAGCCUGCUACUUCUUCGAGUAUGUCAAAAUUGUGAGCAAAAAAGUUGAAAUUAUAUUGUAAUAUCAAUUAGAUUUAUCAACGGUGCAGUAACAGAUUGAUACAACAAAUUGAGAGCAGAAAACAGAAAAUGUGCUACCCACAUUGGCUUUUACAAGAAUGGGUUUAGAAGUAGCGAUGGAUGCUUGUCCAACAAUCGAGGAUCAUUUCAUAAGUGAAUACACUAUUUGAUGUAAAAUAAACCAAAAUUAUCUUUUUAAAAACGGUAAAAAAGAUGCCAAGUGUGUAUGCUCUAGAAAACACCUCUUAAAUCUAAGAUACUCUUCAUCUAAUUCAACCCAAGUAAUAUCACGAGCCUUCUUAUACCAACUAAAAUGUAACUUUAAUUAUUAAACUAAUAAUUAUUUUAAAUGAAUUAUACUCACAAACACACACACACACACAUAUUAACUACAAAAAUAAUGAUAUCAAAAUAUUUCUUUAACGAUAAUUUGUUUUACUCCAAAUAGUAUAUGUUUACUUACGAAAUGAUAUUUGAUGUUACAAUGUGAUUUCAACUUUUUUGCUUACAAUUUUGGCAUACUCGAGGAAGUAGCAGGUUUAGAAUUUGACAGCUUUACUCGGCAAGGAAUUGUUCUCUGAUGGUCCAGCUGUCAACAUUCUACAAUUAGCAAAGAAGCUGAAACAAAAAAUUAAUUCAAGAAAAGAAUCGGUUCAUCUACAAAAAGCACAUAUAGAAUACAUAAUUUCUUAUAAAGAUAUUAACUACUUAUCUGAU